This is a long non-coding RNA of Ruditapes philippinarum (Manila clam), 1223 nucleotides long. RefSeq lists it as uncharacterized. NCBI's taxonomy places the organism in Eukaryota, Metazoa, Mollusca, Bivalvia, Venerida, Veneridae. The record is from RefSeq and is a predicted model, not a curated record. The transcript has 3 exons.
UGUAAAUGAGGAGAACACCGGACGCGUUCACACUUGUUCAAUUUUGGAACAUUGCGCGUUUAUAUUUUGAAUGCCUGUGUUCAGAAAAGGAGUUCUAUUUACGAGUUGAACACUUAUCAUUUGAACGUCAGUGUUCAAUGGUAGUCCUUCUGACUAGACAACAUGAAAGAUUUUGAGUGUUUGACUACUUGGGAUAGCGAGUAAGUAGUGUUGUUUCAAGCAGUGAUGAAAGAUUUGAACUAUAGACUGUAGAUCUACAGAAACUGUUCCAGACUUCCAUACAGAUCUUUGAGGAUAGUGAAGAAUAUGAUUUUCCUGCUAAAUUGGAGACAAAUGAAAACACCCCGCACAAACUGAUGACAUACAUUACAGAGGGGAGCAACUGUCCUUUGGUGUUUCGACAUAGAAUAUUGAUUAUUGUUUAUGUACUCUCGCAGCAGUUUGUAUUUGCGAAGAAAUUUAGGAAAUUAUCCUUAAUUCAUGUGUUAUGUUAAGAAGACUGCAUUCACGCACACAAGAAUAUAACACAUAAAAAUACAACAUGUAAUAACAAUACGUGAAACAAUGCUAGGAUAUUGAGAGACAGGUUAUGUUGCUGUGUGAUUACUCGUAUUUUUGUGGUCUGAAAUGAAACGCAAGAUUCAUGUUAUCAUGUACAAACAAGUUACUGAAAGAACUUUGUAAAACAGUAUUUAAUUUUUUACAUUUUGAUCAUAAUUGUUAAUCUUAAAAUCUUUUCAUUUUUUACUUUACAACUGCUUACCAGGCUUAGAGUUAGAAAAUAAUAAGAAAUUUUGGAUAACAUUAUUCAUUUUGUUAUUGUGAAUAACUAAAGAAUAAUUAAAAAAUCUCAAUAUGAUUCUUUGAUCUGUUGUUUUAUCAGGUGUUCAAAUGUUAACAUAAGUGUUCAUCAGUGUUCUAACUUUUAACAUAUCUAAUUUUGAACAUGUUCUAUGCGUUCAAUAUCUGUUGCAUCGAAAUUGAACGCGUCUGGCAUUUAAAAGUAGAACACCUGAGUGUUCAUAACAUGUUCUAUAAUGGAAUGGUUUGGUGUUAAGAUUUUAACGUCAACGUUAAAAUUUGAACCCUAGAUGUUCAUAAGGCGCUAGUAUAUGAACGGUUGGAGUCAAUAGUUGAACACUAGUAUUAAGAAAUGGAACGCGUCUUGGCGUUCAAUAUCUGUUGCAAAUAGGCGUUCAAGAUGUGUUCUAUUCUUGAACAUU